Molecule: ribosomal RNA, 253 nt
Filed under: uncultured Sphingobium sp.
Lineage: Bacteria; Pseudomonadati; Pseudomonadota; Alphaproteobacteria; Sphingomonadales; Sphingobiaceae
Description: partial 16S ribosomal RNA
Rfam family: Bacterial small subunit ribosomal RNA
Source: RNAcentral
UACGGAGGGGGCUAGCGUUGUUCGGAAUCACUGGGCGUAAAGCGCACGUAGGCGGCGAUCUAAGUCAGAGGUGAAAGCCCGGGGCUCAACCCCGGAAUUGCCUUUGAGACUGGAUUGCUUGAACGUCGGAGAGGUGGGUGGAAUUCCGAGUGUAGAGGUGAAAUUCGUAGAUAUUCGGAAGAACACCAGUGGCGAAGGCGGCCCACUGGACGACUGUUGACGCUGAGGUGCGAAAGCGUGGGGAGCAAACAGG